GACGAACGCUGGCGGCGUGCUUAACACAUGCAAGUCGAACGGAAAGGCCCUGCUUUUGUGGGGUGCUCGAGUGGCGAACGGGUGAGUAACACGUGAGUAACCUGCCCUUGACUUUGGGAUAACUUCAGGAAACUGGGGCUAAUACCGGAUAGGAGCUCCUGCUGCAUGGUGGGGGUUGGAAAGUUUCGGCGGUUGGGGAUGGACUCGCGGCUUAUCAGCUUGUUGGUGGGGUAGUGGCUUACCAAGGCUGUGACGGGUAGCCGGCCUGAGAGGGUGACCGGCCACAUUGGGACUGAGGUACGGCCCAGACUCCUACGGGAGGCAGCAGUGGGGAAUAUUGCACAGUGGGCGGGAGCCUGAUGCAGCAACGCCGCGUGCGGGAUGACGGCCUUCGGGUUGUAAACCGCUUUCGCCUGUGACGAAGCGUGAGUGACGGUAAUGGGUAAAGAAGCACCGGCUAACUACGUG
Molecule: ribosomal RNA, 468 nt
Filed under: uncultured bacterium
Lineage: Bacteria
Description: partial 16S ribosomal RNA
Rfam family: Bacterial small subunit ribosomal RNA
Source: RNAcentral